CUGGAGAGGUGGAAGAGCUGCUUCAUUCAACAUCAUCCCUAGCAGCACUGGUGCAGCCAAGGCUGUUGGAAAAGUGCUCCCACAACUUAACGGCAAAUUGACUGGAAUGGCCUUCAGAGUACCAACUGCUGAUGUCUCCGUUGUCGAUCUUACUGUAAGACUCGAGAAAGAAGCCUCCUAUGAAGACAUUAAGGCUGCAAUCAAGGAGGAAUCAGAGGGUAAAUUGAAGGGUAUCUUGGGAUACACUGAAGAUGAUGUGGUUUCC
Molecule: unclassified non-coding RNA, 265 nt
Filed under: Hevea brasiliensis (rubber tree)
Lineage: Eukaryota; Viridiplantae; Streptophyta; Magnoliopsida; Malpighiales; Euphorbiaceae
Source: RNAcentral